ACCACUAAGUUUAUUAUAUGUUGCCCGUACCGUAAACCGACACAGGUGGGUGGGAUGAGUAUUCUAAGGCGCGUGGAAGAACCCUCUUUAAGGAGCUCUGCAAAAUAGCACCGUAUCUUCGGUAUAAGGUGUGCCUACUUUGGUAUAUGGACUUGCUCCAAAAAGCUAGAGAGGUUGCAACAAAGAGUCCCUCCCGACUGUUUACCAAAAACACAGCACUUUGCUAACACGUAAGUGGAUGUAUAAGGUGUGACGCCUGCCCGGUGCUCGAAGGUUAACUGAUGAUGUCAGCGCAAGCGAAGCAUUUGAUUGAAGCCCGAGUAAACGGCGGCCGUAACAAUAACGGUCCUAAGGUAGCGAAAUUCCUUGUCAGUUAAAUACUGACCUGCAUGAAUGGCGUAACGAGAUGGGAGCUGUCUCAAAGAGGGAUCCAGUGAAAUUGUAGUGGAGGUGAAGAUUCCUCCUACCCGCGGAAAGACGGAAAGACCCCGUGCACCUUUACUACAGCUUGACACUGUAGCUUGGAUAUUCAUGUGCAGGAUAGGUGGGAGGCUAUGAUGACUAGACGCAAGUAGAGUCGGAGCCAUCCUUGAGAUACCACCCUUGAAUAUUUGAGUUACUAACUGCGAUGAGUUAUCCUCAUUCAGGACAAUGUCUGGUGGGUAGUUUGACUGGGGCGGUCGCCUCCUAAAUAGUAACGGAGGCUUACAAAGGUUAGUUCAAAGCGGUUGGAAAUCGCUUGUUGAGUAUAAUGGCAUAAACUAGCUUGACUGUGAGACCUACAAGUCGAACAGAGACGAAAGUCGGUCAUAGUGAUCCGGUGGUUCUGUGUGGAAGGGCCAUCGCUCAAAGGAUAAAAGGUACGCCGGGGAUAACAGGCUGAUCUCCCCCAAGAGCUCACAUCGACGGGGAGGUUUGGCACCUCGAUGUCGGCUCAUCGCAUCCUGGGGCUGUAGUCGGUCCCAAGGGUAUGGCUGUUCGCCAUUUAAAGCGGUACGCGAGCUGGGUUCAGAACGUCGUGAGACAGUUCGGUCCCUAUCUUCCGUGGGCGUAGGAAAGUUGAAGAGAUUUGUCCCUAGUACGAGAGGACCGGGAUGAACCAACCACUGGUGUACCAAUUGUUCUGCCAAGAGCAUCGUUGGGUAGCCACGUUGGGAUGUGAUAAGAGCUGAAAGCAUCUAAGCUCGAAGCCAACUCUAAGAUGAACUUUCCCUGAAGUUCCCAGCAAGACUAGCUGGUUGAUAGGCUGGAUGUGUAAUGGGUGUAAGCCCUUUAGCUGACCAGUACUAAUAGAACGUUUGGCC
Molecule: ribosomal RNA, 1304 nt
Filed under: metagenome
Description: bacterial LSU rRNA
Rfam family: Bacterial large subunit ribosomal RNA
Source: RNAcentral